This 260-nucleotide long non-coding RNA is filed under the name Lathyrus oleraceus (garden pea). RNAcentral describes it as "Pisum sativum (pea) long non-coding RNA (PSAT_LNC025082)". The record is from RNAcentral. Lineage: Eukaryota; Viridiplantae; Streptophyta; Magnoliopsida; Fabales; Fabaceae.
UUCCUUUUCCUGGCAACGUCGAGUAGUGAUUUACAUUCCUUUUCUUCUGACAGUGAUAUUGGUGUAUGGGUGGAAGAAUCCGAAUGUGGUUUUUCCUGUUUUGUCUUGUGUUGAUUACAAAAAAGCAGAGUUUGAAAAUUUUGGUAAUGAUGAAUGUAAGUGAGAAGAAGAUGAUGAGUUAUAUGGAUGUCUUUGUUGAUCUACAAUGGUCGAAGAAACAUAUUUGUGCUAUAUGAUUUGAGUGCUUUGGUUUGUUUUUU